GACAGAGGGUGCAAACGUUUAUUCGGAAUUAUUGGGCGUAAAGGGCGCGUAGGCGGCCUGGCAAGUGGAAGGUGAAAUCCCUCGGCUUAACCGAGGAACUGCCCUCCAAACUGCUUGGCUUGAGUCCGGGAGAGGUGAGUGGAAUUCCCAGUGUAGCGGUGAAAUGCGUAGAUAUUGGGAGGAACACCGGUGGCGAAGGCGGCUUUCUGGACAGUAACUGACGCUGGGGGCGCGAAAAGCUAGGGGGAGCAAACAGG
RNAcentral lists this ribosomal RNA (257 nucleotides) under uncultured bacterium. RNAcentral's name for it is "partial 16S ribosomal RNA". It matches the Rfam family "Bacterial small subunit ribosomal RNA", at positions 524 to 776 of the family's 1533-position model. The record is from RNAcentral.